UACGAAGGGGGCUAGCGUUGCUCGGAAUCACUGGGCGUAAAGCGCACGUAGGCGGAUUGCUAAGUCAGGGGUGAAAUCCUGGAGCUCAACUCCAGAACUGCCUUUGAUACUGGCGAUCUUGAGUCCGGGAGAGGUGAGUGGAACUGUGAGUGUAGAGGUGAAAUUCGUAGAUAUUCGCAAGAACACCAGUGGCGAAGGCGGCUCACUGGCCCGGUACUGACGCUGAGGUGCGAAAGCGUGGGGAGCAAACAGG
Molecule: ribosomal RNA, 253 nt
Filed under: uncultured bacterium
Lineage: Bacteria
Description: partial 16S ribosomal RNA
Rfam family: Bacterial small subunit ribosomal RNA
Source: RNAcentral